This 559-nucleotide long non-coding RNA is filed under the name Anser brachyrhynchus (Pink-footed goose). RNAcentral's name for it is "lncRNA (ENSABRG00000000479.1)". Lineage: Eukaryota; Metazoa; Chordata; Aves; Anseriformes; Anatidae. The record is from RNAcentral.
UUUCCACGGGACGCCCUUCCUGAGAAGGCCCAUAGAGUCAUCAUCAUUUUCCAGUGAGAAGAGCUGUGGCAGCACAGUGCUAUAAUAUCUCUGACAUGUGAAGCUGCUGGGAGCGAAUUCUCCCCACUAAACGACCUUACAUGGUUCAGUAACAAUCUGCUGCAGGAAUCACUGACAUGGAUGACUGUUCUUUGACUUUUAACCUCCAGUGUUGCUCUGGAAGGAUCCACUGUAUGGGGAAGGAAUGAGCUUACUUUCUUGGGCUGAUCAGUCUUUGCCUCUCAGCUGAGAAAGUGAAAGCUUCACCUGGACCAGAUCUGGCAGAUGAGUUAGCCUGCACUGGAAAUCAUCCUCAGCUUCAACAGAUCAACAGAGAAAAAUUAUAUUUGUUUUCCAAGAGACAAACACACUUACAAAUCUGUACAUGUCUUCUUUAACACCUUGAGCAGCAGUUCCUAGAGGCCUCUGUCUGCUGCAGAGAGGAGAAAAGCCUUGUAUGCUUAAUGUGGAGAUGUGCUGGUUGCUACGUCUAAUAAAUGAAACCUCUACCUUAGGUACA